AUAUAUCCAGUUAUCUGGUCAUUUACUCUAUAAUAUAACUUGUGUUUAUAAUAUAACUUAGUAUUUAUAUACUAUAGUUGUUUAUAAAACAUCAUCUGAAAAGUUGACUACGUAUUCAUAUACUGUAGUAAACUUCAAGAGCAAAAGGCAAGUCCAAUAUAUAUAAUAUUAUAAGAUAUAAUAUUAUAUUCUUUGAAAUCAUAUAAUAGUAUUGUAUUGCUAACAAUAUUAUACUAUUAUUAUUAUACAACCAUUUGUGUACUUAAGUGUGUGCAGGUAAUUCCGCUAUUAACUUGCAUAAAUUGAAAAGAGACUAUUAUCCCCCCUUAUAUCCUCGGAUCUCGAUCCAACAAAUGGUAUCAGAGCCAAGUACCGUUGAAGUUUGACUAACAUCUUACAACAACAACUAUGGCACCAAAUGGUGAAUUCAACACUGGUCUUGCGUCAAACAAACCUCCCAGGUUCGAUGGAGUAAAGUAUGACUUCUGGAAGAACAAGAUGAAGUUAUACUUGAAGUCAAUCAACAAUGGAGUAUGGAAGAUCAUAUUAGAGGAUAAUGAAAUUCCAACAAGCAAUGAAGAGACUUGGGGAGAAAUGGACAUCCUCAAGGAAAAUAACAACUCAAGAGCAUUGAAUGCUCUAUAUGGAGCACUCAAUGAAUCUGAGUACAACAGAAUUCGAUGCUUGGAUACAACUUAUAAGGUAUGAAAAGCAUUGGAGGAUCUACAUGAAGGAACCUCCCAUGUUAAAGAAAACAAGCUGUUACAUGCUACCUCUCAGUUCGAAAGAUUCUCUAUGAAGGAAGACGAGACUAUCACAGAGAUGAACAUUAGACUAUCACAAAUAGUUAAUGAUCUGGUUGGACUAGGAGAUCCAGUAACUGAGAAGAAGCAAGUAAGCAAAAUUUUGAGGAGCCUUCCAAACAAGUACUACUCCAAAAGGAAUGCUAUCCAAGAGACUCAUGAUCUCAACAAACUUACAGUUGUGGAACUCUGUGGAAAUCUGAUGGCUUAUGAAGAAGAAAGAUUCAUCUCUAGAGCUAGAGAAGAGAAAAAGGAUAUUGCUCUUAAAAGUCAAUCUGACAAUGAAACAUCAGAAGAUGAUCCAGCAAUGAUCACCAAUCAUCUGAGAAGAAAGACUCAAGGUCAAGUCAUCAGAAGUUCGACAGAAGAAUGAGCAAGGAGUCAAAAGAACCAUUAAUCUGUUAUCUAUGCGACAAGUCUGGACAUAUCAAACCAGAAUGUCCUCUGCUAAAGAAAGAAAGAGCAAAUCAGGCACAAUGGACAGACUCCGACUCGGAUCAAGAAGAUUGUCUCAUGGCUCAUGAAAGCAACUCUGAGGUAAGUUUUGCAAAUACUAGAUUUAAUUCUUUAGAAGAAGCAUAUCUAGAAUUAAUGGAAAAAUAUAAAAAUGAGAAAAAAUUAACUAAGUCAUUAAAACUAGAAUGCAUGAAUAAAUCACAUAUAGAUCAAUCUAUUGAAUUAGAAGAAUCGCAAAAAGAAUGCAUGCAAUUGAAAGAAAGAAAUCUAAAACUCACAAGUAAAUUAAACAAAGAUGAAGAAAAAAUUAAGAUACUUAAGAGUCAAAACUUUGAAUUGCUUAACAUUUUAGAAUCUGAAGAAAAUAAACCUAAGGAAAUGGAUGAUGAUAAGAUUGAAUUGCUAGAAUUAAAAAUAGAUAAUUUUAAAGAAGAUAUUAUGUUAAAAGAAAAAGAAACAAUCAUGCUCAAAACAUAAAUAGAAUCUAAGGACAAAAUUAUACUUGAGCAUGUAGAAACCAUACAAAAAUUAUCUGAAAAAUGUAAUGAUAUGCAAUUACGAAUCAAAAGAAAAGGUCAGAAGAAUAAUAUUCUUGAAAAAAUCUCAAAUAUUUCAUCUAAGCUAAAUGACAUGUUGCAAGGUUCAAGCUCAGGUCAAAAGAAAUUUGGCUUAGGGUUUGAAUCAAAUGCACCUAUUAAAAAACCUUUACAUGCUUUAACUAUAAUGAGUAUUUUGUAAGAGAAUCUAGCUACAGAAAACCUAUUCAUCUUAAGAAAAAGAAAGAUCUAUCUAAGAUGAAUCAUCCAAAACAAAAAUGGAUGACCUAGGAUGAGUUAAAAAAUUAUAAGCAAAUCAACUAUGUUAAUUCAUCUGGACCCAACUCAGUAUGGGUACCAAAAGGUUAUUCAACUCUUUCAGGAAAAACAUGUGUCAAAAUGGCUGUUCGACAGUGGAUGCACAAGGCACAUGACUGGAGAUUCAAGUCUGCUGACAGACUUGACCGACUGGCCUACUACUAAGAAGGUCAAGUUAGCCGAUAACAACGAAGGUACCAUUAUAGGUAGGGGUAAUAUAGGUAAUAUAGAUAGACCAUUUCUUAGAGAUGUUUACUUAGUUAAUGGCCUUAAACAUAAUCUUAUCAAUAUAAGCCAAUUAUGUGAUAAUGAUUGCACAGUUAAAUUUGAAAAGCAUCUAUGCUCAAUCAUUAACUCCAAGGGAGUUAUAAUUAUUGCUAAAGGAUAUAGGAAAAACAAUGCUUAUUCCAUAACCUUUAAUCCCUCCAAGCCAACUCAUGACUUCUGCAUGAUUGCAGCAAGUGAUGAAAAGACUUUAUGGCAUAGAAGGUUAGGUCACACCAGUUCUUCUCGAUUAUCCAAACUAUCAAAAGAAGAACUGGUGACUGGACUGCCUAAAAUAGCAUAUGAGAAAAGUAAUCUCUGUGAUGCUUGUCAAAAAGGGAAACAGCAUAAAAGCUCAUUCAAAUCCCUUACAGAUAUUACUACGUCCAGACCUUUGGAACUUCUACACAUGGACUUAUUUGGGCCAACCCAAACCCAAAGUCUUGGCGGAAAAAGGUUUACGUAUAUAAUAGUAGAUGAUUACUCAAGAUUUGCUUGGGUUUUCUUCUUACGAAAUAAAAGUGACUCAUUCAACGAGUUCUCAUCAUUUUGUACACGUGUACAAAAUAAGAAGGAUGUCCUCAUAAAAAGAAUCAGAAGUGAUCAUGGAGGAGAAUUCGAGAACUCUGAGUUUGAAGAAUUUUGCAAAACUCAUGGAAUAAAACAUGAAUUUGCUUUUCCCCAAGCACCCCCUCAGAAUGGAGUUGUUGAAAGGAAAAACAGAACUCUACAAGAGAUGAGUAGAUCCAUGUUACAAGAACAUGAUUCACCACAGUAUCUCUGGGCAGAAGCUGUUAACACAGUCUGUUAUAUAUUAAACAAGGUGAUUAUUAGAAAAACCUUGAACAAAACUCCAUAUGAGGUCUGGAAUGGAAGAAAGCCAAAAGUUUCAUACUUCAAGGUCUUUGGAUGCAAAUGUUAUGUUCUCCGAACAAGAGGCAACCAAGACAAAUUUGCUCAGAAAUCUGAUGAAGGUAUCCUGGUAGGAUACUCUAAAAGGAGCAAAGCCUACAAAAUUCUUCUCAAAGAAAAACAAAUAAUGAUCGAAUCAUUACACGUUGACUUUGACGAAUCCACUCAGACAACCAUUGUAGAAGAAGAUGAAAUAGUUCCAGAAUCAGAAAUCAUCAUUCCAACUGAAACUACCAAUGUCGAAAUCGAAGUCUUCGAGCCUUCAUCCAACAGGUUGCUCAGGAACCCACAUUCCACUGAUCAAAUCAUUGGUGACCAUCAAGCUGGUGUUAAAACCAGAUCAUCCAUUCAAGGAAACAGUGUUCUUGACUGUUUUGUCUCUCAAAUUGAGCUCAAGAAAGUUGAUGAAGCCCUCGACGACAACUACUGGAUUCAAGCUAUGCAAGAAGAACUCAACCAAUUUGAGAAAAAUGAUGUAUGGGAACUAGUUCCAAAACCAAAAGAUACAUCAAUCAUUGGGACAAGAUGGGUAUUCAGAAAUAAGCUGGAUGAAGAUGGAACUAUAGUCAGAAACAAAGCUAGACUGGUUGCGCAAGGAUACAAUCAACAAGAAGGAAUUGAUUAUGAUGAAACCUUUGCACCAGUAGCUAGACUAGAAUCUAUCAGAAUGCUCCUAUCUUUUGCAUGCUACAAGGAUUUCAAAUUAUAUCAAAUGGAUGUAAAAAGUGCAUUCUUGAAUGGAAUAGUCAAUGAACAAGUAUAUGUUAGACAACCCCCCGGAUUCGAAGAUUACAAAAACCCUGAUCAUGUCCUUAAACUUAAGAAAGCCCUCUAUGUUCUGAAACAAGCACCCCGAGCUUGGUAUGAAAGACUAAGAAACUUUCUCAUUUCUCAGGAAUUUAGAAUAGGAAGUAUAGAUAAUACAUUGUUCAUUAAAAAUGUCAAAAGUGACAUUAUUCUAAUCCAAAUCUAUGUUGAUGACAUUAUAUUUGGAUCAACCGAUGAUACUCUAUGUAAGAAAUUUUCCAAGCAAAUGGAAGACGAAUUUGAAAUGAGUAUUGAUGAAGCACGAAAUCUGCUACUAGUAGGCUCGCGGGGUUGCGAGGAGGGCCGAAGGCUUUGGAGUCCACGACGCGCGCUCUACGUCAAAUACCUGCACAAGUGGAGGGGAGUCGGCGACUCAGGUGUGGGAGUCGGCGACUCGGGCUCCUUUGUUCUCUGGUGUGAAGUGUUGUGAGUCAAGGUGACAUGUGAAUGGAGGACACCCCUAGGACCCCUUUUAUAGGGUCCUGCAGGCGUUUCCAUUCAAUAGAGUGGGGCCCACCCCAUUAUGGUACCCUAUUGAAGGGCGCCAUAAUGGUGUGGGCCCGCCCAAGUAACGGCUGGGAAUCGCCUACUCCUUGUGGGAAUCGCCUACUCAGGUGUGGGAAUCGCCUACUCACGUGGGAAUCGCCUACUCAGGGUGAAUGGGCUAGUCCCCACUGGAAUCAGCUACUCCCCACUGGAAUCGGCUACUCCUCACUGGAAUCGGCUACUCCCAUAUGUUGACUUGAGGACGUUGACGUAGACACUUGCUCCGCACUGUGGAUGCCUUCCGAGGGUCCGGCGUAAAGCGACUGAACCCUAGUCCUUGUUGAGGGGCGUUGCUGGGAGUGAUUGACGUAAUCAGGCAUGUCUCACCAGUACUCCCCCCUGAAGGGAGCACAAGAAACAUGCGUGUAUCGUCAGUAUCCCCCCCCAAGCAAGGUGAUCCGCAUCAAGGCCAAAGCGACAAGAUGGGAUCGAAUCAUUGCGGCCACAGCGACACAAUGACUCCAUUAUCCAUGCACUAUCAGAUGGAUUGAUUCACUAUCAGAAUCUAGUUCCAAGCCAACGGAACUACGUGUUUAUAGUCCAACUUUGAUCAGGAGCGACUUUUGCUGUGUCAUCAUCAAGGCCAAAGCGACAAGAUGAGGGGGAAUUAUUAAGGCCAAAGCGACAAAAUAAUUCUCGUCCAUUAAGGCCAAGCGACAAAAUGGACUGACUCACUAUCAGAGCCAGAUUUUGGCCAAAGCGAUAGAAUCUGUGGAUUCACUAUUAGAAUCAAGUUCACUAUCAGAACUGAUGUUUAUAGUCCACCCUGAUCAAGAGCGACUUUAUAUCCGCAACGACUUCUGGCCAAAGCGACAGAAGUGUCGGGAGAGUUUGUGAUACUCUCCCUCGAAAUGCGACGACUUCUAUCCAAAGCGACAGAAGUGUUGGAAGAGCUUGUCAUACUCCCCUCGAAAUUUGACGACUUCUGGCCGAAGCGACAGAAGUGUCGAGAGAGUUUGUGAUACUCUCCCUCGAAAUGUGACGACUUCUAUCCAAAGUGACAGAAGUGUUGGGAGAGCUUGUGAUACUCCCCCCUCGAAAUGUGACGACUUCUGGCCGAAGCGACAGAAGUGUUGGGAGAGUUUGUGAUGCUCUUCCUCAAAAUUUGACAACUUCUGGCCGAAGCGAUAGAAGUGUCAGGAGAGUUUGUGAUACUCUUUAUUGGAAAUGUGACGGCUUCUGGCCGAAGCGACAGAAGCGUCGGGAGUACUUGUGAUACUCUUUAUUGGAAAUGUGACGGCUUCUGGCCAAAGCGACAGAAGCGUCGGGAGUACUUGUGAUACUCCCCCUCGGAAUGUGACGACUUCUAUCCAGAAGUGUCGGGAGAGUUGGCGAUACUCCCCAUUGAAAAUUUGACGACUUCUGACCGAAGCGACAGAAGUGUCUGGAGUACUUGUGAUACUCCCCCUCAAGAAUCGUGUAAUUGUGACACAUAACUUUAUAUAUUUGACUACCUUUUGUCACUGGGCUACCUUUUGUUUUUUCUUUGCUAAUCUUUCAUAUAAAUUACCCUUAAAAUUGUAACUAAGGCCCGAAACUAGAUUCACAAGUCGUAAUUUAGCCACUCUGGACGUAAAUUAGACUCUGCUAACCCUAUUGCUAGCCACUCUGGGCGUAGACUUGGUCAUACGAAUCGUAGCUCAGCCUACGGUUAAAUUUGCGGAUAAUUUAUAUCUCCAGAUUAACGUAGAGUUGUAAAAGAUAGCGCGAAUGAUAACUCUGAAGGAUGCAAAUAUUUCAGACUCGAGGAUUAUGUCUGUAAUUUCCACUUACAACUUAUGUUUGAACCCUGAUGCCGGAGAGAGCUUGUGAUACUCCCCCUUGAAGUGUUUUGAUAUUUCUGUAAUAUUUUUAGAACUCAAUUUAAUCAAUUAUGUUGCUUUCUUAAUUAAUUGUUUAUUUAAUUUAUUUUUUGAAUUGUAACUAAGACCCGAAACUAGAUUCACAAGUCGUAAUUUAGCCACUCUGGAAGUAAAUUAGACUCUGCUAACCCUAUUGCUAGCCACUCUGGGCGUAAACUUGGUCGUACGAAUCGUAGCUCAGUCUACGGCUAAACUCGUGAAAUAAAUUAAACUUCACAACUAACUUAAGACUCGCAAAGCUAAUUGACGUAAUAAGUUGGAGAUACAAAAAUUACCGGGAAUAGGACUUAGAACUUUUUUGAGAACUUAAGAUUCUAGAUUUCAUUCCCUAAUGUGUAGUUGAGCUCUGGCCGAAGCGACAGAGUAACUUUUGGACCCGCAUCAAGGCCAAAGCGACAAGAUGGGGUAGGAUCGUUAAGGCCAUAGCGACAAAACGAUUUAAAUCUAUUAAGCCAUAGCGAUAAAAUAGAUUUUUGUAUUGUGGGUACUUAGAACCUCUUGGGGUUAGGUUCAUUUGUACUUAUCAACUACCUAAGACUCUACACUUAUACCCUAAUGUAGUUGAACUCUGGCCGAAGCGACAGAGUAACUUUUGGAUCCGCAUAAAGGCCAAAGCGACAAGAUGGGAUGAGAUCAUUAAGGCCAAAGCGACAAAAUGAUCUCCAAGUCUAUCAAGGCCAAAGCGAUAAGAUAGAAGGAUUAUUGAGGCCAAAACGACAAAAUAAUUCUUGGUCCAUUAAGGCCAAAGCGACAAAAUGGACCUUGAUCUAUUAAGGCCAAAGCGACAAAAUAGAUUUCUAAUGUAGGGUACUAGUUAAAGUCGUAGGUAGUGAUUUCGAAAGAGUAUCACAAAAAUAAAAUCUAACUAUUCUAUUUUGUAACUUAUACUAGCAUAGAGACUAAGAGACUACAAUUUAGGACUAUUUUUCUAGACUUGAACCCUGGUGUAUUGGUCAAGCUCCGGCCAUAGCGACAGAGUGACUCACGAUCCUCAUCAAGGCCAUAGCGACAAGACGGGAUAGGAUCAUUAAGGCCAAAGCGACAAAAUGAUUCUUAGUCUAUUAAGGCCAUAGAGACAAAAUAGAUUGAAAACGAGGGUAUCAUUGAUUGUAGUCGUAAAUUUAGAAUCUCGGGGCUAGAUUCGUGAAUGAGAGUCCGAUUUAGAUUCUUAAGUUGCACUUUGGACUCAUAAAUCGUAAAGUAGACUUGUGAUCGUAAUUUAGCCACUCUGGACGUAAAAUGGAUUUUGUAACCAUCACUUAGACUCGCGGGUCGUAAGCUAGGUCUGAGUAACGGGUAUCAUCCAGCCAAAGCGAUGGAUGAUACAUGAGGUUGAAGAGACGGACGUCAUCUAGCCGAAGCGAUGGAUGAUUGAUCCGUCUGAAGCGAUGGAUGAUUAUUCUAAAUACGAUACUGCAUAUAUCUCUAUCGAUUAAAGAGAGAUUUAUUUAGAAUAAUAUCGCUAUUGAGAAUACAUGAGAAUAGUAUGAGCGACAAACAAAAGAAUUAACGUGUUUUUUGGUCGUUGGUUGCCACUGACAGAAGCAUGGCCUGCAUGGUUACUCUGGCCAAUCCUAUCUCUUAACAGGUGAUAGUUCCUCACUACUAGCGUGAGGUACUUGAUUGCGAGUGUGAACUGUGGCUCUGGUUGCCAUCACUGUCAUAGGAUGGAGAGCGUGGGCUAUGGUCAUAACUGUUAUUGGGCCGAGAGUGUGAGCUAUGGCUUUCUUGGCCAUAACUGUUACCAGACUGAGAGUAUGAGUUAUGACUUUGCUGGUCACAACUGCUGAUGAGAAGCUCCUCUCUGUAUCGAGGAGGACUAGUCGAGGUUUCAGACUGGGAACUUGUAUCCUCGUAUGUAUCUUUUUUAGCAUAGCGAGGUUUUUUCUGACUGGGCGGCUCGACGCCGUCCAGCUUAUUAUUGUUCUCCUCUUCUAUCUCAAUGAACGAUUGAGCUCGUUGGAAGAGGUCGAGAAGGGUCUCCACUUUAUGGAGCGUAAGGUUCUGGGCCAAAGGGGAGUAGGGUACUAGCCCAUUUAUGUACCCCGCUAUGGCCAGACUCGGGAUUAGGUCGUUCACUUCUGUCAUCAUCGAAGUGAACUUAAUCGUGUAAUCCCUCAGAGACAGUUUGUUCUGUCGUAAUGCGAGCAGUGCGUUGGCACUGUGUUUUAUUCUGAUCAUCUCCACAUAUUGGGCGAUGAACUUCGAAGAGAGGUCCGCGAAGCUGGAGACCGAGCCAGUUGGUAGACCAGAGAACCACCGAUAAGCGUUGCCUUUUAGAGUGUCGGGGAAUGCCCGACACAACAGUCCGCUAUCGGUGGUCUGCGGUUCCAAGACACUAAGGUAGAGGUUGAUGUGAUCUUUUGGAUCACUCGAACCGUCAUACGCUUCUAUCUUGGGUACCCGCCAGGUUGGUGGAAAAGAUUCUUUCAAAAGGUCCUUGUGAAAAGGAGCGCUUUUGGUUCUCAUGAGCUUGAUCGGAUUGCUGGCGACCGGAUUGUCGGCCAGCUUCCGACGGAGAUCUUCCACGAACUUUGUUGUAAGAGUCUUGUGAGUGUGACUCUUUCUAGGUUCAACCUUUGCCUUAGGAGGUGUUGCAGAUUUCCUCUUUUUCUCCGUAGAUGGAGGAUAGUAAGACCCAGAUUCACCCGCUCCUUCGCGGAUGAUGGUCUUGUUGCCCCUCGCUUUCUCGAGAUUGCUAACUCUUUUUUCUAUGGAAUCCAUAAAGUUAAUCAACCUCUCUUGUAGCGCAGGAGUUAGGUUCACUCCCCCAUUUGAUGGGAGUGAUGAGGGCACCUCAUGUGUCGAAAGUGGUAUAUUAGAGGUUGGUAUAGUACGAGAACCAACCCUCCUACCAGAAGCUUCUACCUCAGUAGUAAUGGCGAGAGCUUUCUUUUUAUGAUCCUUAGUAAAAGGAGCCAUAAAUGGGAUCGUUGCCUCUAUCGGGUCGAAGCAACAGACUACGAGUGGAAGUUCUUCCGAAGUGUCGGAAGCUAUAGGUAGGUACCUGCCCCCCCGGGUGUCACAAAACAGAAAAAAAUUUGUAUAAUAUUUCUUUGUAGUUUUAUGACCCCCUUGAGCAGUAGUACUAGUCCCCAAAGUUUAAAAUUAGCAAAAAAUAUCGAAAAUUUUUGCAAUUUUUCUGCAGAAAAUCGUGCUGCCGGAGGUGGUUUCCGGGAUGCCUGUUUAGACCUAUCCCAGAAAAGAUUCCUUGCACUGUUGGAAAAUUCUGCUCUUUUGUACUCGUAGAGAAAACUUUUUUCACGUGAAGUGUGGUCGUAGAAUUCCAAAAUCAGAUCUAGGUAUUCCGGAGGUCGACCGACAAAAUCACUGGUAGUGAAAAAAGGUAAAAAGACCCAUACUCUUUUUUUUUACCGAAAUGACAGUGCAAAUCCAGCCAAAGCGAUGGAUUUUCGUUUCGGUAAAAGAGCUAGGCUAUGUGUGGUCUUAUUCAGCCGAAGCGAUGAAUGAAGACGAUGACCGAGUCGACAAUUCAAGUGUGGGAAUCGCCUACUCAGUGUGUGGGUCGGCGAUUCAAUUGUGGGAAUCGCUUACUCAGUGUGAUCUUAUUCAGCCGAAGCGAUGAAUGAAGACGAUGAUCGAGUCGACAAUUCAAGUGUGGGAAUCGCCUACUCAGUGUGGGAGUUGGCGAUUCAAUUGUGGGAAUCGCCUACUCAGUGUGGGAAUCGUUGAUUCCCAGGAUAGGUGAUUUUCUAUGAAAAAUCUAACCUAUGUGAAAGUGUAAGUACCAGAGUAAAAGGCAUUGACAACACUUGCUCAAAAAUCUAAAGGAAUCGGCGACACCCUAUGUGGAGUCGGCGAUUCAACUUAUUGUCUUUUUAAACCAAGCCGUGGACAACACUCUUAGCUAGCAGAAUAACCCGGAAUCGGCGACUCACUAGGUGGAGUCGGCGAUUUCCUGUGUGAAUCGGAGAUUCCUUGACACAAAGUUAGCGAUUCACCCUAAGGGAAUCGAGCCGAACUUUGCGAAGAAAAAUUCGCGAUUACGACGGGAUAUCGUAGUUCGAUAGUCCCACAGACGGCGCCAACUGAUUAAGCAUGAAAUCUGCUACCAGUAGGCUCGCGGUGUUGCGAGGAGGACCGGAGGCUUUGGAGUCCACGACGCACGCUCUACGUCAAAUACCUGCACAAGUGGAGGGGAGUCGGCGAUCAGGUGUGGGAGUCGGCGACUCGGGCUCCUUUGUUCUCUGGUGUGGAGUGUUGUGAGUCAAGGGGACAUGUGAAUGGAGGACACCCCUAGGACCCCUUUUAUAGGGUCCCGGAGGCGUUUCCAUUCAAUAGAGUGGGGCCCACCCCAUUAUGAUACCCUAUUGAAGAGCGCCAUAAUGGUGUGGACCAGCCCAAGUAACGGCUGGGAAUCGCCUACUCCUUGUGGGAAUCGCCUACUCAGGUGUGGGAAUCGCCUACUCAGGGGGAAUGGGCUAGUCCCCACUGGAAUCGGCUACUCCCCACUGGAAUCGGCUACUCCCAUAUGUUGACUUGAGGACGUUGACGUAGACACUUGCUCCGCACCGUAGAUGCCUUCUGGGGGUCCGACGUAAAGCGACGGAACCCUAGUCCUUGUUGAGGGGCGUUGCUGGGAGUGACUCACGUAAUCAGGCAUGUCUCACCAAGUAUGAUGGGAGAGUUGACUUUUUUCUUAGGUCUACAAGUCAAACAGAAGGAGAAUGGAAUAUUCCUAAGUCAAGUCAAAUAUGCUAAGGAAUUGAUAAAGAAAUUUGACUUGGCUGAAUCUAAAUCUAUGCCAACUCCGAUAAGUUCAACACUUAAAUUGGACAAAGAUGUUGAAGGUCAAUCAGUAGACAUUAAGAAAUACAGAGGAAUGAUUGGAUUACUGCUAUACCUAACAGCCAGCAGACCAGACAUCAUGUUUGCGGUCUACUUAUGUGCCAGAUUCCAAUCAGACCCAAAAGAGUCACAUCUCAAAGCGGUUAAAAGAAUAAUCAGCUAUAUCAAACGAACAAUUACACUUGGAUUAUUCUACCCUAAGGACAACUCAUUCACACUGACAGCAUACUGUGAUGCUGACUUUGGUGGAUGUAAGACUGUCAGAAAAAGCACUAGUGGAACAUGCUUUCUGUUGGGAAGCUCACUCGUAGCAUGGUCAUGUAAAAAGGAAAAUAGUAUUGCUUUAUCCACAACUAAAGCAGAAUAUAUGGCAGCAUCUAAUGCAUGCACUCAAAUUUUAUUGAUGAAACAAACAUUAUCCGACUACGAUAUAGCUUUAGAAACAGUAGCUCUUAAAUGUGACAACAAGAGUGCAAUUUGUUUAUCAAAAAACUCUGUGUUACAUUCAAGAUCUAAACACGUUGAUGUCAGACAUCAUUUUCUUAGAGAUCAUGUAGAAAAGAAAAAUAUCUGCCUAGAAUAUAUUUCUACUGAAGAUCAAAUGGCUAACAUCUUCACUAAACCCUUAGAUCAAGAAGUUCAUUCAAAAAUCAGAAGAUCUAUGGGUAUAUGUGAGCUUAGUGAAAUUUGAUUAGUUAUGAGUUAAUGCAUCCCAAGUUUUAGUAUUCUUCACUUGAAUAUCUUUAUACUUAUAACUUUGAUCAUAAUCACAUUAAAAUGAAUAUACGUAUGCAUGAAUUUACAAAUCUAAGAUUUACAUGACUAAGUAUAUACAUAUAAUUCAUCAUAUGCAUGCAUAACAUGAAGAGCUUAACUUUAAUGCAUGACUAUCGUAUAUACCAUGUUACUAUAAAUUGCAUGCAUGCUUACAAUUGAACGCUAUUAAUACAUUGCAUGCUACUAUAAAUAGUUGCUUACAUGGACAUGCUUAUCACUCACAUACAUGAUCUACAAGUGAACAAACGAUGUGUAUACAAAUGAAAAUUAUAAUCUUAUGAAAUGAUUAUGCCAAAAUAUGUCAUGUCUUCACUACUGUUUAAAUUGACUCAUCCAUAUGACAUGUCAUCACUUACAUGUAUGGAAAAAUAAUGAAAUUAAUCUUAUGUUGCACCCAUACUGCAUUAUGUCAUAUCUUGAAUAUAAUAUAUUGAGCAAAAUCAACAUCACAUGGUAUUGGUAAUCCAAACCUUACCUCAUGGCAUUGAGAAUCGUCGUCUACACAUUCUGCAACCUCGAUGCUGCAACUUAAUCUAGCAAACCUGUCGCAACUAGUCACUCACGACAGCUAAGAGCAUGGACUAUCGUGCAUAGUGCAAAGAAUGCGUUGAAGACCACCAAAAGGUAUGUUUUAAAUUAAAUAUUAUUCUGGUUACAAGCCACUAAAAUACAAGUCUUGCUAAGAUCCUAGCUAGCUCUUAGAUGAUAGUUUCAAAAUCUCAUUACUUGUUAAACCUAACAAGUCAUGUCAGUACAUGGGAAAUCAAAGAACUCUCUUUUGAGAAGGAGACUACAAGAUAAAACGAUUUUUCAUGGCUUAGUCAAACCAAAAACAUGAAAUUCUUGAAAACCUAAAAGCUUCAUCUAUAAAUACUAGGUUGUUCACUCUCAAACCAAAACCUUCCUUUCUCACCCAUUCCUACCAUCUUCAAAAUGGAUUCUUAUGAUCCAGACUGGAAAAAGGUGAUGGAUCUCAUCACAGGGAAAAAGCAAGUAAGUCAAUCCGAGAUAACUACUCACCUGUUUAAAGAGAUCGAUGAGGCAAAAUCAAGGAUUAAAAUGCUGGAAUCAAGUAUUAAAAACCAAGGAGUUCUGAUCGCAGACUUGCAAUAUCAAAUCGAGAUGUUAAAAGUUCCCACUGAGGAAGCUAACACCAUCAACCAUGGUUUUGAUUAGCUUGCUAUGCCUACUCGAUGCCAUCUGAUUUAGAUGUUCCUUUUUGGUUUGAUCGAUGGUGUUCAAACACCACUAUAACAUCUGUUAAAUAGAUGUUUCUACUUUGUUUAAGUCUGUUUUGUUUAAGGUCUAACCACAUAGACCUAAGCUUGCUUUAUUUUUAGUGAAAAGCUUCAUUGAAAAAUCAAUUUCUCACUAAGUAUUAAAGACUUAAAAGUAGAUAUGAUUCUCAAAUAGUUCAUUAUCAAGAAUCAUCAAAAAUCCAACCAUUAAAUAAAUAUGAUUAACUCCAUAUCUUCAAGAUCUUUUAGAGAUUCAAAUAUUUAAGGGUUGUAUGGAUAAACCAGAAGCUUCAAGGGCUUAAAUAUAAAUUAUGUUUGAAGUUUCUAAGUUUAAAAUGAUUCACUGAAACUUAAGGAUUAAAAUUAUAUUUUUCAGUGAAUAUAAAGUUUUGUGAAACUUCAAGGACUUAAACGUAAAUCGUUUAUGAAGUUUUUAAGUUUUAAAUAGAUUCACUGAAACUUAAGGAUUAAAAUUAUAUUUUUCAGUGAAUAUAAAGUUUUGUGAAACUUCAAGGACUUAAACGUAAAUCGUUUAUGAAGUUUUUAAGUUUUAAAUAGAUUCACUAAAACUUAAGGGUCAAAAUGAUAUCUUUACAGUGAAUAAAUAUUUAGUUAAAACUUCAGGAACUUAAAAUUAAUAUUUACAUGAAGUUUUCAAAUUGAAAAGUGCUUAGAAUUAGUUAAUACUUCCAAGGUUUAAAUGAAAUAUUUCAAGUAUUAAUUUAAGUAUUUAUUAUAACUUCAAAGGGCUUAAAUGAAAUUUUGUUUUAAGUGAAGUUUUACAACUAAGGCUUUAAGGACUGAAAUGAAAAUUUUAAAUCUUUUUAAACUUAGUGAAUAUUUACAUGGUUAUAUUUGUCACUAAGACAUAGAAUUUAAAAUUUUAAAUGCUCAAUUUCUUCUUAAAGCAAUUAGUGAAUAUUAUGGAUUUAUACAUAUCAUUCACUAAUAUCUUAUGGAUUAUAACAUUAUAAAAUCUUUAAUCCAUACAUGUUAAGAUCAUCUUCAUCCAUAACACACACAUGGAUUAUUAUUCAUUGCAUGAUCUUAACACAAGGCAAUUUAAAUUAUCAUAUCAUACUUGCCUUAUAAUGUAUAUCAAAAUUGGCUUCAAUCCAAUAUUUUAUCAAUGAACAUAAAUUACAUGUUAUUUUUCCUUUAUGAUUGACUAACACUCUUAUAAGCAAGACGACACAUUUGGUCAAUCACACAAAUCGAAUUUGUGAUCAAAGCUCAAUAAGGUAUGAAAUUUUAUUUUCUCCACAAAUUAGAUAUAUCCUAUCAUUAAGGGGGAGAUACUUCACAGGUAUCUAUUUUAACUUUGUCGAUACCUUAUUGUUUUAAGGGGGAGAAAUCAUGCAUGAUCCACUGCUUUUAAAUUGAAUAUUAUGGGUCAAUAAUUCAGAGGGAGCAUGCUCAUAAAGGUAAAAUAGAAUAUUGACUAGACAUGAGUUAAAACAUAUAUGCCAUCGACAAAGGGGGAGAAUGUAGAAUCAAAAUUGUCGACAUAGGAUUAUAUUUUAAUCAUGUCAAUUUAAACCCUAAUUACACUAUUAAUCAAUAGGGGUUAAAUAAGUCAAUCGAUAUUAAACCUAACUCCAGUUAAUUAAUUUAUCAUUUGAGCUAAGGGUUUAAAUCAAAGUUAAAAGUCAAAGAGGGAGAAUUGCAUUUUCACCUUGAAUAUUAUUAUUUGGAAUAAUUGCAUUUUUAUCUUGAAUAUUAUUAUUAUUAUCUUUUGACACUUUAUUCAAGGUAUAAUAUUCCAAGGGGACAAAACACUAUUCAAGUUUGAAUUUAUACAAAGAUAAGAUUCUCCAACAAACUCUAUCCAAGAAAAGCACUAUUAAAGAUAAGAUCAAAGACAAAGCUUGGAUUUAUGUGAGAAAUCAAGGAGCCAUCCAUUGAAGAUCCAAGGGUGGACAUUGAGUGGUCAAGGCUAUAAAUAGAAGGGUAAACCCCUCGUUUUCACUCACCACACUACAAGCAAACUCAAGAGCUUUCACUCCACACUUGCCCACACGUUUUUGCCUCCAAGCUUCCAAGCCUCAAGUGUCCUAGCUUUACAAAGCUUCAAAAGCUCUCCAACUUCUUCUUCUAAUAUUCUUGUUCAUCUUUACAAGUAAGAAGUGUUGUUUGCUUUAAUAUUCCACUCCUCUAAUCACCUCUUGUGUGUAUCCACUUUGGUUGAAAGGGUUGUCUCAAUAGUACCAAAGUGUGAGAGAAGGUUUGUGAGCUCAACCAUAAAGCUCUAGUUUGGUUUUAUAGAGUUUCUGGGAAAACUCUUAGGUCGAGUCUACCUUUAAAGAUUUCAGAGGUUUUUAAGAGUUCCUUGAUACUCUAAGGUACUAACUUACCCGUAAAAGUUAGAGGUUCUUAAGAGUGCCCUUGAUACUCUAAGGUGUGAGUCUACCCGUAAAAGACUGGUUCCUAAGCGAAGUAGCCUUAAAGCUUAGAGAGGUUUUUAAGAGUUCCUUGAUACUCUAAGGUACUAACUUACCCGCAAAAGUUAGAGGUUCUUAAUUAAGAGUGCCCUUGAUACUCUAAGGUGUGAGUCUACCCAUAAAAGACUGAUUCCUAAGCGAAGUAGCCUUAAAGCUUAGAGAGGUUCUUAAGAGUUUCCUUGAUACUCUAAGGUUUUGCCAUAAACUUUAGGCGAGUGAAUUCCGACAGUUGGUCGGGACUGGACUAGCCCUUGUUUGGGUGAACCAGUAUAAAUCUCUUGUUGUUGUUCUCUGUUAAUUAUAGUUUUAUCUUUUAUCUAAAAACAACACUUAAUUAAAAAGAUCCCUCUUCCAGUUAUCUGGUCAAAUACAAAGGUUGACUACUUUACGCAGAUCCCUCAUCCAGUUAUCUGAUCAACCAUCUGAGGUUAUAUUCAUUGCUUUAUUCAUAUAUAUGUUCAAGCAUUUACUUAUCAUAUAUAUAUCCAGUUAUCUGGUCAUUUACUUGUUUAUCAAUAUAUCCAGUUAUCUGGUCAUUUACUUGCUUAUCAAUAUAUCCAGUUAUCUGGUCAUUUACUUGCUUAUCAAUAUAUCCAGUUAUCUGGUCAUUUACUUGCUUAUCAAUAUAUCCAGUUAUCUGGUCAUUUACUCUAUCAAUAUAACUUGUGUUUAUAAUAUACCUUAGUAUUCAUAUACUAUAGUUGUUUAUAAAACACCAUCUGAAAAGUUGNNNNNNNNNNNNNNNNNNNNNNNNNNNNNNNNNNNNNNNNNNNNNNNNNNNNNNNNNNNNNNNNNNNNNNNNNNNNNNNNNNNNNNNNNNNNNNNNNNNNUGUAGUAAACUUAAAGAGCAAAAGGCAAGUCCAAUAUAUAAUAUUAUAAGAUAUAAUAUUAUAUUCUUUAAAAUUAUAUAAUAGUAUUGUAUUGCUAACAAUAUUAUACUAUUAUUAUUAUACAACCAUUUGUGUACUUAUGUGUGUGCAGGUAAUUUCGCUAUUAACUUGCAUUAAUCGAAAAGAGGCUAUUAUCCCCCCUUAUAGCCUCGGAUCUCGAUCCAACAGAAAGUUGCACCUCCAAGGCUCAAGUCGAAGCCUUACGCGCGCUGGAAGUCGAAACGGAGAAACUGGAAGUCGAAGCGGAGAAACUGGAAGUCGAUGCGCAGAAAGUCGAUCACUCGGAGCGAAGGAAGUAGGUGGGAAAUAAGUGAACCCCCCUCCGCUAUUUAUAGGGGAAAGUCGAAGACGAACC
This 17014-nucleotide long non-coding RNA is filed under the name Zostera marina. RNAcentral's name for it is "long non-coding RNA (ZMAR_LNC000773)". The record is from RNAcentral. Lineage: Eukaryota; Viridiplantae; Streptophyta; Magnoliopsida; Alismatales; Zosteraceae.